Molecule: long non-coding RNA, 674 nt
Filed under: Phasianus colchicus (ring-necked pheasant)
Lineage: Eukaryota; Metazoa; Chordata; Aves; Galliformes; Phasianidae
Description: lncRNA (ENSPCLG00000001811.1)
Source: RNAcentral
CAGACCUUCAAGCAGUGCAGUUUGGUGGUACAGCCUUCUUUAUAAAGGUACACAGCAGCAGCAUGGCUAAGGAAUGCCAUUUGCCCUCUUUUCUACAGUAGCAACUUCAGCAGAAUACAGUGCCUUGAGAAUAAGUGCUGCACAGUGUGACAAGGGAGUCCACUCUGCUGUCCCUGGCAAACCUCUCAGGAAACAGUACUUAGAUGCACACAAGGAAGUGGAUUUCCAGAACUGUUCAGCAUCAGCAAGGCGCAAUGGAUGCAUUUCCAAAGGCAAACCCAGAUCAGACGUUCAGGCUUCCAUCUUUCCCAUGGACUUCUGCAAUCCAACAAGGGGAUAUUGCUGGGCACCCUCUGGUUUGCUGAUAAGACGUGGAGGCGAGAAGGCCAUGUGGGAUGUCUUGGUGUGUUCCCUACUCUCUCCAUGCCAAAUCCCCACCCCAUGGGGAUCAGUGGCAGAGCUGUGCCAAAGCCCACCAGGGACAUUCCCAGCUUCCUCAGGCUUUCUCAUGGAAAGAGAUUGAUUCUUGCUUGGUGCUGAGGAGAGAUUGCAGAAGGAGUAGGAGAGAUUAGCCUAAUUUACUCCUCCCUGAUGAGUUUUUGUGGAUCUCUCCCAUCCCCACAUGUGUCAGCAAGCAGAAUAUCAGGCAGCAAAGAGAAUAUACUAAUUCCUGG